This 471-nucleotide ribosomal RNA is filed under the name uncultured bacterium. RNAcentral's name for it is "bacterial SSU rRNA". It matches the Rfam family "Bacterial small subunit ribosomal RNA", at positions 355 to 825 of the family's 1533-position model. The record is from RNAcentral.
UCGAGAAUCUUUCGCAAUGCCCGAAAGGGUGACGAAGCGACGCCGCGUGCGGGAGGAAGGCCUUCGGGUUGUAAACCGCUGUCGGGAGUUAAGAAAUGCAAGGAUGUUAAUAGCGUUCUUGCUUGACUAAGGCUCCGGAGGAAGCCACGGCUAACUCUGUGCCAGCAGCCGCGGUAAUACAGAGGCGGCAAGCGUUGUUCGGAAUUAUUGGGCGUAAAGAGCACGUAGGCGGCUGUGUAAGUCGGUUGUGAAAGCCUUCCGCUCAACGGAAGAACGGCAUCCGAUACUGCAUGGCUUGAGUGUGGGAGGGGAGAGUGGAACUUCUGGUGGAGCGGUGAAAUGCGUAGAUAUCAGAAGGAACACCGGCGGCGAAGGCGACUCUCUGGUCCAUAACUGACGCUGAGUGUGCGAAAGCUAGGGGAGCAAACGGGAUUAGAUACCCUAGUCCCUGAGCGGGCUGGCAAGGCGCAU